This 72-nucleotide transfer RNA is filed under the name Nocardiopsis sinuspersici. RNAcentral's name for it is "tRNA-Lys". It matches the Rfam family "tRNA". Rfam says of the family: Transfer RNA (tRNA) molecules are approximately 80 nucleotides in length. Their secondary structure includes four short double-helical elements and three loops (D, anti-codon, and T loops). Further hydrogen bonds mediate the characteristic L-shaped molecular structure. tRNAs have two regions of fundamental functional importance: the anti-codon, which is responsible for specific mRNA codon recognition, and the 3' end, to which the tRNAs corresponding amino acid is attached (by aminoacyl-tRNA synthetases). tRNAs cope with the degeneracy of the genetic code in two manners: having more than one tRNA (with a specific anti-codon) for a particular amino acid; and 'wobble' base-pairing, i.e. permitting non-standard base-pairing at the 3rd anti-codon position. Lineage: Bacteria; Bacillati; Actinomycetota; Actinomycetes; Streptosporangiales; Nocardiopsidaceae. The record is from RNAcentral.
CGGGCAAAACACACGGAAAGCAGCGGACUUUUAAUCCGCGGGUUCAGGGUUCGAUCCCCUGGGGCCCUACCA